CAAGAGCCCAAUUACUAUAAGAACUAUGUCACUCAUGACAGAGAACAGGUCACCACAGAGAAUUGAGUAGAGUUCCUGAGCUAUACAUUUCCGAGGAUCAGAAGUCCAGCCCACAGUAGCUGGAUUCUCUAUGCUGGAACUCACAAACUGAAAUCAAGGUGUCAGCAAGCUGCAUCUGGAGGCUUGACUAAGGAAAGAGCUGCUUCCAAGCUCCCUCAACCUGUUGGCAGAAUUCAUUUUCUUGCAGCUGUAUGACCUCUGUCCACAUUUUCCUUCCGUUAGCCAGAGAUCACUCUCCGCUCUUCCAGGCUGCCCACAGC
This is a long non-coding RNA of Physeter macrocephalus (sperm whale), 320 nucleotides long. RefSeq lists it as uncharacterized. The transcript is spliced from 3 exons. NCBI's taxonomy places the organism in Eukaryota, Metazoa, Chordata, Mammalia, Artiodactyla, Physeteridae. The record is from RefSeq and is a predicted model, not a curated record.